This 2117-nucleotide ribosomal RNA is filed under the name Escherichia coli 1-176-05_S4_C1. RNAcentral describes it as "bacterial LSU rRNA". It matches the Rfam family "Bacterial large subunit ribosomal RNA", at positions 14 to 2157 of the family's 2925-position model. Lineage: Bacteria; Pseudomonadati; Pseudomonadota; Gammaproteobacteria; Enterobacterales; Enterobacteriaceae. The record is from RNAcentral.
AGCGUACACGGUGGAUGCCCUGGCAGUCAGAGGCGAUGAAGGACGUGCUAAUCUGCGAUAAGCGUCGGUAAGGUGAUAUGAACCGUUAUAACCGGCGAUUUCCGAAUGGGGAAACCCAGUGUGUUUCGACACACUAUCAUUAACUGAAUCCAUAGGUUAAUGAGGCGAACCGGGGGAACUGAAACAUCUAAGUACCCCGAGGAAAAGAAAUCAACCGAGAUUCCCCCAGUAGCGGCGAGCGAACGGGGAGCAGCCCAGAGCCUGAAUCAGUGUGUGUGUUAGUGGAAGCGUCUGGAAAGGCGCGCGAUACAGGGUGACAGCCCCGUACACAAAAAUGCACAUGCUGUGAGCUCGAUGAGUAGGGCGGGACACGUGGUAUCCUGUCUGAAUAUGGGGGGACCAUCCUCCAAGGCUAAAUACUCCUGACUGACCGAUAGUGAACCAGUACCGUGAGGGAAAGGCGAAAAGAACCCCGGCGAGGGGAGUGAAAAAGAACCUGAAACCGUGUACGUACAAGCAGUGGGAGCACGCUUAGGCGUGUGACUGCGUACCUUUUGUAUAAUGGGUCAGCGACUUAUAUUCUGUAGCAAGGUUAACCGAAUAGGGGAGCCGAAGGGAAACCGAGUCUUAACUGGGCGUUAAGUUGCAGGGUAUAGACCCGAAACCCGGUGAUCUAGCCAUGGGCAGGUUGAAGGUUGGGUAACACUAACUGGAGGACCGAACCGACUAAUGUUGAAAAAUUAGCGGAUGACUUGUGGCUGGGGGUGAAAGGCCAAUCAAACCGGGAGAUAGCUGGUUCUCCCCGAAAGCUAUUUAGGUAGCGCCUCGUGAAUUCAUCUCCGGGGGUAGAGCACUGUUUCGGCAAGGGGGUCAUCCCGACUUACCAACCCGAUGCAAACUGCGAAUACCGGAGAAUGUUAUCACGGGAGACACACGGCGGGUGCUAACGUCCGUCGUGAAGAGGGAAACAACCCAGACCGCCAGCUAAGGUCCCAAAGUCAUGGUUAAGUGGGAAACGAUGUGGGAAGGCCCAGACAGCCAGGAUGUUGGCUUAGAAGCAGCCAUCAUUUAAAGAAAGCGUAAUAGCUCACUGGUCGAGUCGGCCUGCGCGGAAGAUGUAACGGGGCUAAACCAUGCACCGAAGCUGCGGCAGCGACACUAUGUGUUGUUGGGUAGGGGAGCGUUCUGUAAGCCUGUGAAGGUGUACUGUGAGGUAUGCUGGAGGUAUCAGAAGUGCGAAUGCUGACAUAAGUAACGAUAAAGCGGGUGAAAAGCCCGCUCGCCGGAAGACCAAGGGUUCCUGUCCAACGUUAAUCGGGGCAGGGUGAGUCGACCCCUAAGGCGAGGCCGAAAGGCGUAGUCGAUGGGAAACAGGUUAAUAUUCCUGUACUUGGUGUUACUGCGAAGGGGGGACGGAGAAGGCUAUGUUGGCCGGGCGACGGUUGUCCCGGUUUAAGCGUGUAGGCUGGUUUUCCAGGCAAAUCCGGAAAAUCAAGGCUGAGGCGUGAUGACGAGGCACUACGGUGCUGAAGCAACAAAUGCCCUGCUUCCAGGAAAAGCCUCUAAGCAUCAGGUAACAUCAAAUCGUACCCCAAACCGACACAGGUGGUCAGGUAGAGAAUACCAAGGCGCUUGAGAGAACUCGGGUGAAGGAACUAGGCAAAAUGGUGCCGUAACUUCGGGAGAAGGCACGCUGAUAUGUAGGUGAGGUCCCUCGCGGAUGGAGCUGAAAUCAGUCGAAGAUACCAGCUGGCUGCAACUGUUUAUUAAAAACACAGCACUGUGCAAACACGAAAGUGGACGUAUACGGUGUGACGCCUGCCCGGUGCCGGAAGGUUAAUUGAUGGGGUUAGCGCAAGCGAAGCUCUUGAUCGAAGCCCCGGUAAACGGCGGCCGUAACUAUAACGGUCCUAAGGUAGCGAAAUUCCUUGUCGGGUAAGUUCCGACCUGCACGAAUGGCGUAAUGAUGGCCAGGCUGUCUCCACCCGAGACUCAGUGAAAUUGAACUCGCUGUGAAGAUGCAGUGUACCCGCGGCAAGACGGAAAGACCCCGUGAACCUUUACUAUAGCUUGACACUGAACAUUGAGCCUUGAUGUGUAGGAUAGGUGGGAGGCUU